Rhinopithecus bieti (black snub-nosed monkey) is the source of this 100-nucleotide small nuclear RNA. Lineage: Eukaryota; Metazoa; Chordata; Mammalia; Primates; Cercopithecidae. The record is from Ensembl.
GCGCUUAUUUCAGCAGCACAUAUACUAAAAUUAGAAUGAUACAGAAAAGAUUAGCAUGGUCCCUGCACAGGGAUGACGUGCACAUUUUUGAAAAAAUUAU